Long non-coding RNA from Amphiprion ocellaris (clown anemonefish), 1742 nucleotides. RefSeq lists it as uncharacterized. Lineage: Eukaryota; Metazoa; Chordata; Actinopteri; Pomacentridae. The record is from RefSeq and is a predicted model, not a curated record. The transcript has 4 exons.
AAGAAUUAUUAUACAUGCUUACAGUAAACAUUUUUUCUCACAAAAAAGAAAUGAAAAAGAAAAAAGAAUAAAGUCUCACCCUUGUUCCUAAAACUACUAAAAGGCAAAAAUAAAGUCACGUUUGUGAACAAAGAUGGAGGACUACAUGCUAUCACUGCUUAACGUUACCAAUAAGCCAAAUCGGAAUUAUCAGUACGCAUGUGCGUUUAUCCCUCAAUAGCUUCCGGUUCAGAGUUCAUCCCACACUACGUUAUCAACAAAGCUCGACGAAGCCAUACUAUCGCAGUGGAACGACCUGCUAUUUGUAGCGACUAUUAAGUGUUUACACUGCUUAAAUUCUUUUUAAGGCAAUAUGCCAGGUCCCCAUAGUUCAGUGCGGGACUGCCACAACAGUACCCGUGGGCUAAAGAAGUGGAUGGAAGAGUUUUGCCCUAUUCAUGAAUGCAAUAAAGGAACCUCGCGCUGUAUAUGUGACCCGCCUUAUGUACUCGUCACAUUUCCUACUGAAAGAAAAGAUCCAGAACGUUGUGCCGAAUGGAUUAAAUCAAUGAACAGGAAGACCAUAAAAACAGGAAAAAACUGGGCACCACACAAGAACAGCCGAGUAUGUUCCAUGCAUUUUGUUGAGGGUGCACCUUCCACCUCCUUUCCAAACCCUACACUGAAUCUAGGAUAUCCAGUACCAUCAACUAGUACAGGAAAGAAAUGGGCACCACCAAAACCACAUACAUCUGUUGCAUCGAAGAGGCAGAAAUUCAACUUCCAAAGCUUCAGCACAGAGGAUGUACAGAAUCCAGGCCCAUGCAAGGAAACGAGUGGGAGUGACCCUGGAACUGGCCCCAGCAUAGAAGAUGCAUAGAUUCAAGCCCCAAGCAAGGAAUAUUCCCAAAAAAACAGUGGGAGUGACCCUGGAACUGACGUAGAGACAAUUCUAGCUCAUGAAGACCAUACUUACACAAAAACUGGUGAAUGUAACUGUCAAUCAAACUGUAACUGUGAUUGUAUUGCUAGGCUUAGUAAUAAAAUAAUUCAACUGGAAAAUACACUGAAAAUGUUAGCGAUAAAAUCAGACGAAAGUUCUUGUAGUGGUAUUAGUCUAGCAGAUAUGAUGGACAAUACAAUUUGUGCUAAUGCUGACAACAAAAAGUACUUCACAGACAGAUUUCUUUCAGAUGACAGGUCAGUGAAACUAAAAACCAGUCUUCCAAACAAAGGAACUUUCAACAAGCUGCUUCAGGUCCUGACUCCAAGAGCAGCAAAAAUGAGAUAUUGGGCUGGAACUCAUAAAGUUAUUUCUUCUAAAAUUAGAAAAUUUGUUCAAACACCACUGUAUAUGGUACCAGUUGCUUUUCCAAAACACACCCAUAAGUUGUGUGGAACACUUUUGAGUCUUUGUGAUGGUGUGCAGUCACAUUUCAACUAGCAUAUCUGGGAAUCUUUAGAAACUUCAUGGUAGAAAACCUCUUUCAGCCAAGCAUUUUGUGAAGCAAAAUAGCUAAAUGCUUUGCCUGGAAAAGAAAAAUAAUAUGUUUGUUAUGCAGAUUUCAUAAAAUGAAAGCUAGCAAGUUCAAGAAAUAUGUAUAUUUAGCUUGUAAAAUCUGUAGGCCUAUAAUAAUUAUUAACAUGAUAAUAAACUAAAAAAUGAAAAUCAUUAAUGUCACAUGUUAAUGUGAUAUUAAGGACCUGUUAAAAAAUAAAUGCAAAUCAAAAAUAAUACACAAAUGUCAAAAUCAUUUCACUGA